GAUGAACGCCGGCGGUAUGCUUAACACAUGCAAGUCGAACGGACUCUUCGGAGUUAGUGGCGGACGGGUGAGUAACGCGUGAGAAUCUGGCUUUGGGUUCGGGACAACCACUGGAAACGGUGGCUAAUACCGGAUGUGCCGAGAGGUGAAAGAGAAAUUGCCUGAAGAUGAGCUCGCGUCUGAUUAGCUAGUUGGUGAGGUAAAGGCUCACCAAGGCAGCGAUCAGUAGCUGGUCUGAGAGGAUGACCAGCCACACUGGGACUGAGACACGGCCCAGACUCCUACGGGAGGCAGCAGUGGGGAAUUUUCCGCAAUGGGCGAAAGCCUGACGGAGCAAUACCGCGUGAGGGAAGAAGGCUCUUGGGUUGUAAACCUCUUUUCUUAGGGAAGAACAAAAUGACGGUACCUAAGGAAUCAGCAUCGGCUAACUCCGUG
RNAcentral lists this ribosomal RNA (435 nucleotides) under uncultured bacterium. Its description in RNAcentral is "partial 16S ribosomal RNA". It matches the Rfam family "Bacterial small subunit ribosomal RNA", at positions 28 to 507 of the family's 1533-position model. The record is from RNAcentral.